CCUACGGGUGGCAGCAGUGGGGAAUUUUGGACAAUGGGCGCAAGCCUGAUCCAGCAAUGCCGCGUGAGUGAAGAAGGCCUUCGGGUUGUAAAGCUCUUUUGUCAGGGAAGAAACGGCUCCGGCUAAUAUCUGGGGCUAAUGACGGUACCUGAAGAAUAAGCACCGGCUAACUACGUGCCAGCAGCCGCGGUAAUACGUAGGGUGCAAGCGUUAAUCGGAAUUACUGGGCGUAAAGCGUGCGCAGGCGGUUUUGUAAGUCUGACGUGAAAUCCCCGGGCUCAACCUGGGAAUUGCGUUGGAGACUGCAAGGCUGGAGUCUGGCAGAGGGGGGUAGAAUUCCACGUGUAGCAGUGAAAUGCGUAGAGAUGUGGAGGAACACCGAUGGCGAAGGCAGCCCCCUGGGUCAAGACUGACGCUCAUGCACGAAAGCGUGGGGAGCGAACAGGAUUAGAUACCCUCGUAGUC
RNAcentral lists this ribosomal RNA (465 nucleotides) under uncultured bacterium. Its description in RNAcentral is "bacterial SSU rRNA". It matches the Rfam family "Bacterial small subunit ribosomal RNA", at positions 338 to 795 of the family's 1533-position model. The record is from RNAcentral.